CCUACGGGAGGCAGCAGUGGGGGAUAUUGCACAAUGGGGGGAACCCUGAUGCAGCGACGCCGCGUGCGUGAAGAAGUCUUUCGGUAUGUAAAGCUCUAUCAGCAGGGAAGAAAAUGACCGUACCUGACCAAGAAGUCCCGGCUAACUACGUCCAAGCGGCCGAGGUAAUACGUAGGGGGCAAGCGUUAUACGGAUUUACGGGGUGUAAAGGGAGCGUAGACGGGUAUGUAAGUCUGGAGUGAAAGCCCGGGGCCCAACCCCGGGACUGCCUUGGAAACUGGGUAACUGGAGUACAGGAGGGGCAGGCGGAAUUCCUGGUGUAGCGGUGAAAUGCGUAGAUAUCAGGAGGAACACCGGCGGCGAAGGCGGCCUGCUGGACUGAAACUGACGUUGAGGCUCGAAAGCGUGGGGAGCAAACAGGAUUAGAUACCCUAGUAGUC
This 440-nucleotide ribosomal RNA is filed under the name uncultured bacterium. Its description in RNAcentral is "partial 16S ribosomal RNA". It matches the Rfam family "Bacterial small subunit ribosomal RNA", at positions 338 to 795 of the family's 1533-position model. The record is from RNAcentral.